GAUGAACGCUGGCGGCAUGCCUAACACAUGCAAGUCGAACGAAGGCUUCUGCCUUAGUGGCGCACGGGUGCGUAACGCGUGGGAAUCUGCCUCUCUGUUCGCAAUAACAGUGAGAAAAGACUGCUAAUAGCGGAUGAUGACUUCGGUCCAAAGAUUUAUCACCGAGGGAUGAGCCCGCGUAGAAUUAGGUGGUUGGUGGGGUAAAGGCUUACCAAGCCGACGACCGUUAACUGGUCUGAGCGGAUGAUCAGCCACACUGGGACUGCGACACGGCCCAGACUCCGACGGGUGGCAGCAGUUGGGAAUAUUGGACGAUGGGCGAAAGCCUGAUCCAGCAACGCCGCGUGAGUGUUGCAGUCCUUAGGGUUGUAAAGCUCUUUUACCAGGGAUGAUAAUGACAGUACCUGGAGAAUAAGCUCCGGCUAACUCCGUGCCAGCCGCCGCCGUAA
Molecule: ribosomal RNA, 449 nt
Filed under: uncultured bacterium
Lineage: Bacteria
Description: partial 16S ribosomal RNA
Rfam family: Bacterial small subunit ribosomal RNA
Source: RNAcentral